AUGGGAAAUGACAAGAACAGCGCUUUUGGCAAAAACAUCUUUAAGCAUGGCAGAAAGUAUUUUGGGUUUAUAAAUCAUAUUGCAUUUUUUGUCAGCUCCCUUAGCGUGCCUUCAGAAAAAGGAUCUGCAUGAGGAGCAACAACAUGAAAAACAAGCCCUCGUUAUUCUGAGCGCACCAUCGCCAAAUGUUAAAGUCAUUUGAUAAUUUAUCUGGAGGAAACAAAAAAAAUAAAAAAAAAGCAAAAAGCACACCAGACAAAACUUCCUCAGCCCAUUAAGGAGAGACUCAGUAACUGGAAAGUGGCAGUAAUUAACAUUUCUGCUGUUCUUCUUUGUGCGUGCCAACGUAAUUUAUGCGCUCGGAAACUUCUCACAUAGAUCCUGCAGGAAGUUGCAGCCUAAGAAAAGAUGUCAGUGCUGAGCUAAAAAGACACCUGUCAAAGCUGAAGCUCCAUUUCUGCUCAGAUGCAACAAAGAUCUCGAUGAUCUAAGAAAGUAUGAAUAGUUGUUGAAGUGGAAGCAAGAAUGAGAAGUGGGCCCAGAAAGACCAGAAAAAGGCAAUGCUUUCUGGCAGCGGUGAGAAAAGGACGUAGGAAAUUCUGAUGUGAUUUAAGAAGAAGGGAUCAAACUUUAAAGAGAUCAAACUUUAAAGGAAACAAGGAAAGCGACUAUAAAUAGUAUUAAUAGUACCGAAUAAAGAGAAAGAGUUAGGCAGCUUUAAAGGCCAUAAUUUUUAUAUAUUUCAUUGCACUCUGUCCCAGAGUUCCCCAGUUGGUAAGGCUGAGAAAGAAAAGGAAAAUAUUCCAGGUUUUUGCAUUAAUUUAAGACAUCAAAAGUAUGUUUUGGCUCAAGCAAAUGUACAUACUCUGGUCUAAAGAAUUGCUCCAUAAAACCAUUUUUUUUUCUGUUCUCUAAGUCCUUGAGAUGUUAUUCAAAUGUGCAGUAUGUCACUUAGGAAUGGAAAUGGGUGAUGUACAGCUAAAGUUGGUCAGAGCUAACCCAGUGAAACAGCUGUGGCUGGGAAACAAAAAGUGGGGCACAAACCUGCAGGUCUACAGUUGCUGUCUUCCAGUGAGAGACCCAAAGGAUGCUGAAAUGCUCACCAGGACAGGAGGGGUUGAACGGCUCACAUUUGGGCAGAUUUUACUCUGGAGUGACCUUCAGGAUGGAAACAGGUCAGCUGCACGUGAAACAUCUGACAGUGGUCUUAUUUCCUCUACAAACAGUCCUGGUCCUCCUUUCGCUGGGAAGGCAAUAUUUGUGAUGGAGAAAUCCCAGCCGCUCCACAGAUCAGCUCUUGGCAUUUGUGAGAAGGGCAGCAAAGCAAAGCUGCGACGCAAGACCUGAAACACCAUUAGGGAAUAAGUGGCGACAUCUGGAACAGCAGCAGGACGCGAGGAACACCUUUUCUUCAAAAUUCAGAGCGUUUACCAUCUGUUCUAUAUGCUCUUCUAACUCACCACUAUUCUACUUGUCUGUGCCGCUUAAAUAAACAUGUAUAUUGCAGCCUCUUUUGAGGAACUGUCCUUUUCUGCAGAAGCCUUUUGAUACGGUCUUCUCCAUAAUGACCUACUAAACAGAAUAAAAGCCAAGCUUUUCACUGUGAGCACACUGCUGCUGUCAGAUUUCUUGGUAAGAAAAUAAAACCCAACUACCAUGCUGCCUUGCUCAAGAAGGGGAAGGGCAGUGAGAGGCAGAAGCUUGGGGCCUCCCCAAGUGCCAAGCACCACUUCAUGCCUCUGACUCCAAAGAUGAAGGGAUGGAGCUUCACUGCUUGCUCUGUGCAGCAAUACUUGGUGACAAUCAUUGCCUAUAAAGGUUCUCAGGUAGGACAGAUUUGGUGCUGCUGUCACGCAGCUGGUGCCCACACUGACAUGCCUUUUGUCAGGGCAUAAGCCACCAACAAGCACGAUUUCCCCUUGCGUUCUCUCCUUCUUAUCAAGGACUUCAUCUGAAAAUAUCACAAGCCAGAAGGCAGAAGAUAUUUCAGUUUUCUUGUUCAAAACUUAUUGCAGAUGGCUGUCUCAGCCCAUGAUACAACUCUUUGGAAAGUUGCAUCAGCCUCCUUUAUUCUUCUAUUGCUUGCAGAUAGUACCCAGCCUAUCAACCCCUCUCCUUUUUACAUCAGGGUCUUCAAAUUUGUUUUGCAUGUGUUCCUCCCACUACAGCUGCUAACUUUAGAAGUAAUCAACUGCUAAUUGUUAAUCAAGAGCAAACACAAAAUCCAGUAAUUGGAGAGGAGAUACAACCUUGCUCUCCAGAAAAUAGGAAAGGCCAUAAAUGAUGAGGAUCAGGAUUACUCUCUGAGAACAAGAUAUGGGAUAUUCUCCAGAUACUCCCCACAGAAAAAGUAUGGAAGACACAGUGCAUUAAUAGGACCAUCGCUCAAUUCAGCGUGAUGCUGUGUUGACUCUCAGAAGCAACCAGGUAGUCCACAGAAAAUCCCUAUGACUCUUUUCCUUCCAAAGAGUCUGCCUGCUGACAGCCAGUUCUUUCAUUUGAGUAGUUCUAGUUCAUGCUUUUAAGCCCAAUUCCCAUCACACAAGUACACUGAAAAAAUUCUCUGAUAGACUUCAAUAUUGCACUUUCAGUAAAGACUGAGAACUAACCAUGAAGAGUGAAGACACAUGGGGUGUAACUUUCAAAGGGGCUUAAAGCCUCUUUGUCAGAGCAGAAAGCAAAGGGCAGCUUAAGGACUCAACUACACGACAGGAAGGAGCACACCUGAGCUAACACUUCAUGGUAGCACCAUGGGCAUUACUCACCUGGUCCUGAACACUGGACAAUAACAUGAGUGUGACAGGACAGCUGAGAUGCCAUCUCAGCAGGGUUUAUGGAAGAAGGGCAGUGCCAGGGGAUGAGAUAAUACUUCUAUCAGCACAGUGAUCCAGCACUGGGCUCCAGAGCCCAGCCUGGACCUGCCCUUCUCCAUCACUUCAAGAGAACUGAGGUUCUCCACACUUUUACAAAUUACAAACAGGCAACAAAGAAAGAGAAGCUCAC
This 3003-nucleotide long non-coding RNA is filed under the name Gallus gallus (chicken). Its description in RNAcentral is "lncRNA (ENSGALG00010002850.1)". Lineage: Eukaryota; Metazoa; Chordata; Aves; Galliformes; Phasianidae. The record is from RNAcentral.